RNAcentral lists this ribosomal RNA (121 nucleotides) under Melipona quadrifasciata. The record is from RNAcentral. Lineage: Eukaryota; Metazoa; Arthropoda; Insecta; Hymenoptera; Apidae.
ACUAACGUUCAAACCGGAUUGAAUGCCCUCGUUCUCUUUCGAUCACGAAAGUUAAGCAGUGCUGGGCACGGAGAGCAAUUAUAGAUGGUUGACUGCUUGGGAACUCCGUGUGAUGUUGGGU